Molecule: non-coding RNA, 73 nt
Organism: Monodelphis domestica (gray short-tailed opossum)
Lineage: Eukaryota; Metazoa; Chordata; Mammalia; Didelphimorphia; Didelphidae
Source: Rfam
UCAGCUUUGGUUCAGUGGGUAGCACAUCAGUCUUGCAAGCUGAAGGUCCUGAGUUCAAUCCUUGGAAGGAGGG